RNAcentral lists this long non-coding RNA (1074 nucleotides) under Mytilus galloprovincialis (Mediterranean mussel). Lineage: Eukaryota; Metazoa; Mollusca; Bivalvia; Mytilida; Mytilidae. The record is from RNAcentral.
CAAGCGCUUGUCAAUCCAGAAACAGAAAGACAAACAAGCUCAGACAAGUUUAGCUCAUGUUACUAACAAAAUCGAUAGUAUGAAUCUUACAUUACAGAACCAUUUCAAUACUGGAUUGAUAAAUGUCCGAGGGUGUUCUUUGCUUCCUGAUGGUAGAAUGGUUUUCUCUUGUUUUACAAAGAACAAAUUAUCGGUAUUCAAAUCUGUCGGACAACUAGAUUUCGAAAUAAAAAAUAUUGCUGAUACGUUCGAUCUAGUAUAUAUUGGAAAUGACUGUGUUGCUGUGUCAUCUGGGCAGUCAUUUCCGAUUAAUGUAAUCAACAUAAAGAAAAAUAGACGAGAGAAAACGAUAAAAGUGAGCACAUUUUGUGAUGGAGUGAAAGACAAUGAUGGAGUAGCAUACAUUGAUGGAAAUUUGAUUUAUUGUAGUAGGGAAGAAGGACUACGUAUGAUUAGUUGUUUUGAUGGUUCAGUUUCCACUAUUGGUUCUAAUAACGCACUUUCGUACGCUUCUUACGUUACGACAUUCAGAAGCAGAUUGUUCUACACAAUUCAUAGAGAUGACAGUGUAACCUGUUGGCAUUACCAGGGUAAAAUACUGUGGACAUUUAGUAAUGCGAAUGUUUUGAAGACUCCACUUGGUAUCUCAGCAGACAACAAUGGAAACGUGUUUGUAGCGGGAGCUAAUAGCGACAAUGUAAUUGUUAUCUCUGGUGAUGGAAAACGCUACAGAGAACUCUUAUCACAUGAAGAUGGACUAAUUAGACCGCAGGUUCUUCACUAUGAUAAAUCUACAGAUAAAUUGUUAGUUGUAAAUGAAAAAACGAUGCAUUCUUGUAUGGCGUUAAAUAAGAAUUUGUGAUGCUAACUUUUUCCAGUAGUUACCAUUCUUUAUAAAACAUUGCUUAGAUAAACCUUAGCCGCAUUAAGUUUUCGCAUUUAGGCCAAUUAUCCACUAACAGCAAGUAAAGGAUAACUGCGUUUCAUCUUCAGAGUGGUGGUUAAUAUGAUAGACUUUGGUCCCUUUUACUUGAAACUGUUGUUUAAGAAAAUAUGUUUGUAAAUAAAACUCAC